Molecule: ribosomal RNA, 440 nt
Filed under: uncultured bacterium
Lineage: Bacteria
Description: partial 16S ribosomal RNA
Rfam family: Bacterial small subunit ribosomal RNA
Source: RNAcentral
CUACGGGAUGCAGCAGUGGGGAAUAUUGCACAAUGGAAGAAACUCUGAUGCAGCAACGCCGCGUGGAGGAUGACACUUUUCGGAGCGUAAACUCCUUUUAUAUAGGAAGAUAAUGACGGUACUAUAUGAAUAAGCACCGGCUAACUCCGUGCCAGCAGCCGCGGGUAAUACGGAGGGUGCAAGCGUUACUCGGAAUCACUGGGCGUAAAGAGCGUGUAGGCGGGUUAAUAAGUCAGAAGUGAAAUCCUAUGGCUCAACCAUAGAACUGCUUUUGAAACUGUUAACCUAGAGUGUGGGAGAGGUAGGUGGAAUUGCUGGUGUAGGGGUAAAAUCCGUAGAGAUCAGAAGGAAUACCGAUUGCGAAGGCGAUCUACUGGAACAUAACUGACGCUGAGACGCGAAAGCGUGGGGAGCAAACAGGAUUAGAUACCCGAGUAGUC